CAAGUCGAACGAGAAAGUGGAGCAAUCCAUGAGUACAGUGGCGUACGGGUGAGUAACACGUGGGUGAUCUACCUCUUAGUGAGGAAUAACCCUGGGAAACCGGGGCUAAUACCGCAUAAGCCUGAGAAGGGAAAGCAGCAAUGCGCUGAGAGAGGAGCCCGCGGCCGAUUAGCUAGUUGGUGAGGUAAGAGCCCACCAAGGCAUAGAUCGGUAGCCGGCCUGAGAGGGCACACGGCCACACUGGCACUGAAACACGGGCCAGACUCCUACGGGAGGCAGCAGUGGGGAAUCUUGCACAAUGGGGGCAACCCUGAUGCAGCGACGCCGCGUGAGCGAUGAAGCCCUUCGGGGUGUAAAGCUCUUUCGGCAGGGAAGAUAGUGACGGUACCUGCAGAAGCAGCUGCGGCUAACUACGUGCCAGCAGCCGCGGUAAUACGUAGGCAGCAAGCGUUGUUCGGAGUUACUGGGCGUAAAGGGUGUGUAGGCGGUUCUUUAAGUUUGGUGUGAAAUCUCCCGGCUCAACCGGGAGGGUGCGCCGAAUACUGAGGGACUAGAGUGUGGGAGAGGAAAGUGGAAUUCCUGGUGUAGCGGUGAAAUGCGUAGAUAUCAGGAGGAACACCGGUGGUGUAGACGGCUUUCUGGACCAUAACUGACGCUGAGACACGAAAGCGUGGGUAGCAAACAGGAUUAGAUACCCUGGUAGUCCACGCCCUAAACGAUGCAUAUUUGGUGUGGGUCAUUCAGUUGAUCCGUGCCGGAGCUAACGCGUUAAAUAUGCCGCCUGGGGAGUACAGUCGCAAGGCUGAAACUCAAAGGAAUUGACGGGGGCCCGCACAAGCGGUGGAGCAUGUGGUUCAAUUCGACGCAACGCGAAGAACCUUACCUGGGCUCGAACGGCUUCUCAACGCCGGUAGAAAUACCGGUACCCC
This 929-nucleotide ribosomal RNA is filed under the name uncultured Bacillota bacterium. RNAcentral describes it as "bacterial SSU rRNA". It matches the Rfam family "Bacterial small subunit ribosomal RNA", at positions 58 to 1018 of the family's 1533-position model. Lineage: Bacteria; Bacillati; Bacillota. The record is from RNAcentral.